This 333-nucleotide ribosomal RNA is filed under the name uncultured Treponema sp. RNAcentral's name for it is "bacterial SSU rRNA". It matches the Rfam family "Bacterial small subunit ribosomal RNA", at positions 355 to 678 of the family's 1533-position model. Lineage: Bacteria; Pseudomonadati; Spirochaetota; Spirochaetia; Treponematales; Treponemataceae. The record is from RNAcentral.
CUAAGAAUAUUUCCGCAAUGGAGGAAACUCUGACGGAGCGACGCCGCGUGGAUGAUGAAGGUCGGAAGAUUGUAAAAUCCUUUUAUGACUGAGGAAUAAGUACGUUGAGAGAAACGUCGUAUGGUGACUGUAGGUCAUGAAUAAGCAACGGCUAAUUACGUGCCAGCAGCCGCGGUAACACGUAAGUUGCGAGCGUUGUUCGGAAUUAUUGGGCGUAAAGGGCAUGUAGGCGGUAUUGCAAGCCUGGUGUGAAAGGCGGGGGCUCAACCCCUGGACUGCGCUGGGAACUGCAUUACUAGAGUCGCUGAGGGGCAAUCAGAAUUCCAGGUGCGA